Long non-coding RNA from Hipposideros armiger (great roundleaf bat), 406 nucleotides. RefSeq lists it as uncharacterized. Lineage: Eukaryota; Metazoa; Chordata; Mammalia; Chiroptera; Hipposideridae. The transcript has 3 exons. The record is from RefSeq and is a predicted model, not a curated record.
CUUAAAGCUGGUGAAUCACUAGCAGCCACUAGCCAGGGCGUGUUAGGGUGUCAGGCGGGAAGGGAGCAGCCAGCUCCUCGUGGACCUCCCCUACUUCUGCCACCCCCAACUUUACCAUCACUGUGUGACCUCCCCAGCCUCUGGAGCCUCGGUGACACUAGCUGGAAAAGGACCUAGCCCUGGGUACAGAUCUCACAGGGGCAACAGAUGCCAAUUUGGAGGAUGGACCAGGUACAGGGGAGAGGCUCACUCUGAAGGAGGACUUCCCAGAAGAGGUGACAUUUCAAAGCAGCCUUCAAGGAUGUUUUGCCCAAGGGUGUCCCACUGAUGAAGGUCACCUUUGAGAAUGAAAGGAAGUGCUAUUAAUUAUGCUGGGGGGCCGGCCGAGUGGCACGUUGGUUAGGAG